AGAGUUUGAUCAUGGCUCAGAUUGAACGCUGGCGGCAGGCCUAACACAUGCAAGUCGAACGGUAACAGGAAGCAGCUUGCUGCUUUGCUGACGAGUGGCGGACGGGUGAGUAAUGUCUGGGAAACUGCCUGAUGGAGGGGGAUAACUACUGGAAACGGUGGCUAAUACCGCAUAACGUCGCAAGACCAAAGAGGGGGACCUUCGGGCCUCUUGCCAUCAGAUGUGCCCAGAUGGGAUUAGCUUGUUGGUGAGGUAACGGCUCACCAAGGCGACGAUCCCUAGCUGGUCUGAGAGGAUGACCAGCCACACUGGAACUGAGACACGGUCCAGACUCCUACGGGAGGCAGCAGUGGGGAAUAUUGCACAAUGGGCGCAAGCCUGAUGCAGCCAUGCCGCGUGUAUGAAGAAGGCCUUCGGGUUGUAAAGUACUUUCAGCGGGGAGGAAGGUGUUGUGGUUAAUAACCACAGCAAUUGACGUUACCCGCAGAAGAAGCACCGGCUAACUCCGUGCCAGCAGCCGCGGUAAUACGGAGGGUGCAAGCGUUAAUCGGAAUUACUGGGCGUAAAGCGCACGCAGGCGGUCUGUCAAGUCGGAUGUGAAAUCCCCGGGCUCAACCUGGGAACUGCAUUCGAAACUGGCAGGCUUGAGUCUUGUAGAGGGGGGUGGAAUUCCAGGUGUAGCGGUGAAAUGCGUAGAGAUCUGGAGGAAUACCGGUGGCGAAGGCGGCCCCCUGGACAAAGACUGACGCUCAGGUGCGAAAGCGUGGGGAGCAAACAGGAUUAGAUACCCUGGUAGUCCACGCCGUAAACGAUGUCUACUUGGAGGUUGUGCCCUUGAGGCGUGGCUUCCGGAGCUAACGCGUUAAGUAGACCGCCUGGGGAGUACGGCCGCAAGGUUAAAACUCAAAUGAAUUGACGGGGGCCCGCACAAGCGGUGGAGCAUGUGGUUUAAUUCGAUGCAACGCGAAGAACCUUACCUGGUCUUGACAUCCACGGAAGUUUUCAGAGAUGAGAAUGUGCCUUCGGGAACCGUGAGACAGGUGCUGCAUGGCUGUCGUCAGCUCGUGUUGUGAAAUGUUGGGUUAAGUCCCGCAACGAGCGCAACCCUUAUCCUUUGUUGCCAGCGAUUAGGUCGGGAACUCAAAGGAGACUGCCAGUGAUAAACUGGAGGAAGGUGGGGAUGACGUCAAGUCAUCAUGGCCCUUACGACCAGGGCUACACACGUGCUACAAUGGCGCAUACAAAGAGAAGCGACCUCGCGAGAGCAAGCGGACCUCAUAAAGUGCGUCGUAGUCCGGAUUGGAGUCUGCAACUCGACUCCAUGAAGUCGGAAUCGCUAGUAAUCGUGGAUCAGAAUGCCACGGUGAAUACGUUCCCGGGCCUUGUACACACCGCCCGUCACACCAUGGGAGUGGGUUGCAAAAGAAGUAGGUAGCUUAACCUUCGGGAGGGCGCUUACCACUUUGUGAUUCAUGACUGGGGUGAAGUCGUAACAAGGUAACCGUAGGGGAACCUGCGGUUGGAUCACCU
This 1530-nucleotide ribosomal RNA is filed under the name Salmonella enterica subsp. enterica. RNAcentral describes it as "bacterial SSU rRNA". It matches the Rfam family "Bacterial small subunit ribosomal RNA". The record is from RNAcentral. Lineage: Bacteria; Pseudomonadati; Pseudomonadota; Gammaproteobacteria; Enterobacterales; Enterobacteriaceae.